Molecule: long non-coding RNA, 295 nt
Filed under: Rosa chinensis
Lineage: Eukaryota; Viridiplantae; Streptophyta; Magnoliopsida; Rosales; Rosaceae
Description: sRNA RchiOBHm_Chr1g0382061
Source: RNAcentral
UUUUGAUCAAUUCUUAUAUAUGACUUAGGUUUGUCAAGUGUAAAACAACCUGAGGUUUGACUCAAGUUGGUUUUCAACAUAGAAAUGGAAAAAAAGAGGAAUACCUAAAGCUUUUGAGUAUCACAAUCUAUUCGUAAGUACAAAGGGAAGGAGUGGACUAAAGCAUUUGCCUCUUUUCCCUUUGGAGAAGAGCAUCACAGGGGAGAGCCUGGAGUAGAUGUAUAAUGGCUCAGUGCUCAUUGCUCCUUCGCAACACAGAACAUGGGGUUGAAGGUCAGUUACUUUUUUAAUUGUU